AAGAGUUAGGGUCUCUCAGGCCCGACCUCCCAACCCUUUGUUUACUGAACCAUUGUUGCUUCGGUGGGUCCGUCUCACGACCGCCGGGGGAGGGAUCCCCCCCCCCCCUGGCCCCCCCCCGCCGAUAGCCCAACUCUUAAAAUCCUUUAUGAAUCGUGUCUUAUGUCUAAAUCAUGAUAACAAAUCAAAUUA
Molecule: unclassified non-coding RNA, 192 nt
Filed under: uncultured fungus
Lineage: Eukaryota; Fungi
Description: sequence contains ITS1, 5.8S rRNA gene
Source: RNAcentral